RNAcentral lists this ribosomal RNA (497 nucleotides) under uncultured bacterium. Its description in RNAcentral is "partial 16S ribosomal RNA". It matches the Rfam family "Bacterial small subunit ribosomal RNA", at positions 28 to 507 of the family's 1533-position model. The record is from RNAcentral.
GACGAACGCUGGCGGCGUGCCUAAUACAUGCAAGUUGAGCGAUGAAGAUUGGUGCUUGCACCAAUUUGCAGAGCAGCGAACGGGUGAGUAACGCGUGGGGAAUCUGCCUUUGAGCGGGGGACAACAUUUGGAAACGAAUGCUAAUACCGCAUAACAACUUUAAACAUAAGUUUUAAGUUUGAAAGAUGCAAUUGCAUCACUCAAAGAUGAUCCCGCGUUGUAUUAGCUAGUUGGUGAGGUAAAGGCUCACCAAGGCGAUGAUACAUAGCCGACCUGAGAGGGUGAUCGGCCACAUUGGGACUGAGACACGGCCCAAACUCCUACGGGAGGCAGCAGUAGGGAAUCUUCGGCAAUGGACGAAAGUCUGACCGAGCAACGCCGCGUGAGGGAAGAAGGUUUUCGGAUCGUAAAACUCUGUUGGUAGAGAAGAACGUUGGUGAGAGUGGAAAGCUCAUCAAGUGACGGUAACUACCCAGAAAGGGACGGCUAACUACGUG